GAUGAACGCUGGCGGCGUGCCUAAUACAUGCAAGUCGAGCGAACAGAUGAGGAGCUUGCUCCUCUGACGUUAGCGGCGGACGGGUGAGUAACACGUGGAUAACCUACCUAUAAGACUGGGAUAACUUCGGGAAACCGGAGCUAAUACCGGAUAAUAUAUUGAACCGCAUGGUUCAAUAGUGAAAGACGGUUUUGCUGUCACUUAUAGAUGGAUCCGCGCCGCAUUAGCUAGUUGGUAAGGUAACGGCUUACCAAGACGACGAUGCGUAGCCGACCUGAGAGGGUGAUCGGCCACACUGGAACUGAGACACGGUCCAGACUCCUACGGGAGGCAGCAGUAGGGAAUCUUCCGCAAUGGGCGAAAGCCUGACGGAGCAACGCCGCGUGAGUGAUGAAGGUCUUCGGAUCGUAAAACUCUGUUAUUAGGGAAGAACAAAUGUGUAAGUAACUAUGCACGUCUUGACGGUACCUAAUCAGAAAGCCACGGCUAACUACGUG
Molecule: ribosomal RNA, 497 nt
Filed under: uncultured bacterium
Lineage: Bacteria
Description: partial 16S ribosomal RNA
Rfam family: Bacterial small subunit ribosomal RNA
Source: RNAcentral